UAUUGCACAAUGGGCGCAAGCCUGAUGCAGCGCCGCCGCGUGAGUGAAGAAGUAUCUCGGUAUGUAAAGCUCUAUCAGCAGGGAAGAAAAUGACGGUACCUGACUACGAAGCCCCGGCUCACUACGUGCCAGCAGCCGCGGUGAUACGUAGGGGGCAAGCGCUAUCCGGAUUUACUGGGUGUAAAGGGGGCGCAGACGGCAGCGCAAGCCAGGAGUGAAAGCCCGGGGCCCAACCCCGGGACUGCUCUUGGAACUGCGCGGCUGGAGUGCAGGAGGGGCAGGCGGAAUUCCUGGUGUAGCGGUGAAAUGCGUAGAUAUCAGGAGGAACACCGGUGGCGAAGGCGGCCUGCUGGACUGCGACUGACGUUGAGGCCCGAAAGCGUGGGGAGCAAACAG
This 396-nucleotide ribosomal RNA is filed under the name uncultured bacterium. RNAcentral's name for it is "bacterial SSU rRNA". It matches the Rfam family "Bacterial small subunit ribosomal RNA", at positions 362 to 775 of the family's 1533-position model. The record is from RNAcentral.